Rhinolophus ferrumequinum (greater horseshoe bat) is the source of this 186-nucleotide long non-coding RNA. RefSeq lists it as uncharacterized. Lineage: Eukaryota; Metazoa; Chordata; Mammalia; Chiroptera; Rhinolophidae. The record is from RefSeq and is a predicted model, not a curated record. The transcript is spliced from 4 exons.
CCUCCAGCGCCGCCUGCUCGGCCGAGCGCAGCAACGGCAGCUCGAUGGUCCAAGUCCUCCAACGGCGAAGAGGCUGCCGCCUUGGUCAUGCUGCCCCUCGGCCCCUAUCCUUCAGUCCAAGGAAGAGAAAUCCGAGACCAGGGUAAUGGCUUGCCCCAUUUGAAGACACUGCCUGCCAGCAAGCAC